This 495-nucleotide ribosomal RNA is filed under the name uncultured bacterium. Its description in RNAcentral is "partial 16S ribosomal RNA". It matches the Rfam family "Bacterial small subunit ribosomal RNA", at positions 355 to 839 of the family's 1533-position model. The record is from RNAcentral.
UGGGGAAUAUUGCACAAUGGGCGCAAGCCUGAUGCAGCCAUGCCGCGUGUGUGAAGAAGGCCUCGGGUUGUAAAGCACUUUCAGCGAGGAGGAAGGUGGUGAGCUUAAUACGCUCAUCAAUUGACGUUACUCGCAGAAGAAGCACCGGCUAACUCCGUGCCAGCAGCCGCGGUAAUACGGAGGGUGCAAGCGUUAAUCGGAAUUACUGGGCGUAAAGCGCACGCAGGCGGUUUGUUAAGUCAGAUGUGAAAUCCCCGGGCUCAACCUGGGAACUGCAUUUGAAACUGGCAAGCUAGAGUCUCGUAGAGGGGGGUAGAAUUCCAGGUGUAGCGGUGAAAUGCGUAGAGAUCUGGAGGAAUACCGGUGGCGAAGGCGGCCCCCCUGGACGAAGACUGACGCUCAGGUGCGAAAGGCGUGGGGCAGCAAACAGGAUUAGAUACCCUGGUGGUCCACGCUGUAAACGAUGUCGAUUUUGGAGGUUGUGCCCUUGAGGCG